ACGGGUGAGGAAUGCGUCGGAAUCUGCCUAUUUGUGGGGGAUAACGUAGGGAAACUUACGCUAAUACCGCAUACGACCUACGGGUGAAAGUGGGGGACCGCAAGGCCUCACGCAGAUAGAUGAGCCGACGCCGGAUUAGCUAGUUGGCGGGGUAAAGGCCCACCAAGGCGACGAUCCGUAGCUGGUCUGAGAGGAUGAUCAGCCACACUGGAACUGAGACACGGUCCAGACUCCUACGGGAGGCAGCAGUGGGGAAUAUUGGACAAUGGGCGCAAGCCUGAUCCAGCCAUGCCGCGUGUGUGAAGAAGGCCUUCGGGUUGUAAAGCACUUUUGUCCGGAAAGAAAACCUUUCGAUUAAUACUCGGAGGGAAUGACGGUACCGGAAGAAUAAGCACCGGCUAACUUCGUGCCAGCAGCCGCGGUAAUACGAAGGGUGCAAGCGUUACUCGGAAUUACUGGGCGUAAAGCGUGCGUAGGUGGUUUGUUAAGUCUGAUGUGAAAGCCCUGGGCUCAACCUGGGAACUGCAUUGGAAACUGGCUUACUAGAGUGCGGUAGAGGGUAGUGGAAUUCCCGGUG
RNAcentral lists this ribosomal RNA (577 nucleotides) under Lysobacter sp. RDB-137. RNAcentral's name for it is "bacterial SSU rRNA". It matches the Rfam family "Bacterial small subunit ribosomal RNA", at positions 102 to 675 of the family's 1533-position model. Lineage: Bacteria; Pseudomonadati; Pseudomonadota; Gammaproteobacteria; Lysobacterales; Lysobacteraceae. The record is from RNAcentral.